AGAGUUUGAUCCUGGCUCACGAUGAACGCUAGCUACAGGCUUAACACAUGCAAGUCGAGGGGCAGCAUGACGAUAGCUUGCUAUUGUUGAUGGCGACCGGCGCACGGGUGAGUAACGCGUAUCCAACCUUCCCGUUGCUAGGGGAUAACCUUGCGAAAGUAAGACUAAUACCCUAUGAUGUUCUUCGCAGACAUCUAAAGAGAACGAAAGAUUUAUCGGCAACGGAUGGGGAUGCGUCUGAUUAGGUUGUUGGCGGGGUAACGGCCCACCAAGCCCACGAUCAGUAGGGGUUCUGAGAGGAAGGUCCCCCACAUUGGAACUGAGACACGGUCCAAACUCCUACGGGAGGCAGCAGUGAGGAAUAUUGGUCAAUGGACGGAAGUCUGAACCAGCCAAGUAGCGUGCAGGAUGACGGCCCUAUGGGUUGUAAACUGCUUUUAUGUGGGAAUAAAGUGAGGGACGUGUCCCUUUUUGUAGGUACCACAUGAAUAAGGACCGGCUAAUUCCGUGCCAGCAGCCGCGGUAAUACGGAAGGUCCGGGCGUNAUCCGGAUUUAUUGGGUUUAAAGGGAGCGUAGGCCGUCUUUUAAGCGUGUCGUGAAAUACUGUCGCUCAACGACAGAGGUGCUUCGCGAACUGGGAGACUUGAGUGCGCGGAAUGCAGGCGGAAUCCGUCGUGUAGCGGUGGAAUGCUUAGAUAUGACGAAGAACUCCGAUUGCGAAGGCAGCUUGCAGUAGCGUACAUGGACGCGAAAGCUCGAAAGUGCGGUUAUCGAACAGGAUUAGAUACCCUGGUAGUCCGGCACGGUAAACGAUGGAUGCUCGCUGUGUGCCUUUGGGUACGCGGCCAAGCGAAAGCGUUAAGCAUCCCACCUGGGGAGUACGCCGGCAACGGUGAAACUCAAAGGAAUUGACGGGGGCCCGCACAAGCGGAGGAACAUGUGGUUUAAUUCGAUGAUACGCGAGGAACCUUACCCGGGCUUGAAUUGCAGGAGAACGAUACAGAGAUGUUGAGGUCCUUCGGGACUCCUGUGAAGGUGCUGCAUGGUUGUCGUCAGCUCGUGCCGUGAGGUGUCGGCUUAAGUGCCAUAACGAGCGCAACCCCUCUCCGUAGUUGCCAUCAGGUGAUGCUGGGCACUCUGCGGACACUGCCGCCGUAAGGUGUGAGGAAGGUGGGGAUGACGUCAAAUCAGCACGGCUCUUACGUCCGGGGCUACACACGUGUUACAAUGGGUCAUACAGAGUGUUGUGCGUAUGCAAAUACGUACUAAUCAUUAAAAUGAUCCUCAGUUCGGAUUGGGGUCUGCAACCCGACCCCAUGAAGCUGGAUUCGCUAGUAACCGCGCAUCAGCCAUGGCGCGGUGAAUACGUUCNCCGGGCCUUGUACACACCGCCCGUC
RNAcentral lists this ribosomal RNA (1398 nucleotides) under uncultured bacterium. RNAcentral describes it as "bacterial SSU rRNA". It matches the Rfam family "Bacterial small subunit ribosomal RNA". The record is from RNAcentral.